CCCUUAGAUGUUCUGGGCCGCACGCGCGCUACAAUGGUCUUCGCAAACGGAUGCAUUCUCGAAGGAGAAUGCCAAUCUUGGAAUCUAUGCCUUGGUCGGGACAGUUGCUUGCAAUUUUUCGACUCGAACCAGGAAUUCCUUGUAAUCGUGAUUCAUCACAUCACGAUGAAUACGUCCCUGCCCUUUGUACACACCGCCCGUCGCUCCUACCGAUCGAAGAGUUAGGUGAAUUGUUUUGAUCGAUAAGAUUUGACUAUGGUCAACUCUCGUUGUGAAAUUCUGUGAAUCUGACUGUCUAGAGGAAGGAAAAGUCGUAACA
Molecule: ribosomal RNA, 319 nt
Filed under: uncultured eukaryote
Lineage: Eukaryota
Description: partial 18S ribosomal RNA
Rfam family: Eukaryotic small subunit ribosomal RNA
Source: RNAcentral